CCUACGGGAGGCAGCAGUGAGGAAUAUUGGUCAAUGGUCGGGAGACUGAACCAGCCAAGCCGCGUGAGGGAUGAAGGUACAGAGUAUCGUAAGCCUCUUUUGUCAGGGAACAAAGGCGGGGACGUGUCCCCGGAUGAGUGUACCUGAAGUAAAAGCAUCGGCUAACUCCGUCCCAGCGGCCGCGGUACUACGGGGGAUGCGAUCGUUAUCCGGAUUUAUUGGGUUAAAGGGGGGCGCAGGGGGUCUGUUAAGCCAGCGGUGAAACCCCGGGGCGCAACCCCGGCCCGCCGUUGAAACUGGCAGUCUCGAGUUGGAGAGAAGUAUGCGGAAUGCGCGGUGUAGCGGUGAAAUGCAUAGAUAUCGCGCAGAACUCCGAUUGCGAAGGCAGCAUGCCGGCUCCACACUGACGCUGAGGCACGAAAGCGUGGGUAUCGAACAGGAUUAGAUACCCGAGUAGUC
This 459-nucleotide ribosomal RNA is filed under the name uncultured bacterium. RNAcentral describes it as "partial 16S ribosomal RNA". It matches the Rfam family "Bacterial small subunit ribosomal RNA", at positions 338 to 795 of the family's 1533-position model. The record is from RNAcentral.